ACAGGUCCUUCGGGAUGCUGACGAGCGGCGGACGGGUGAGUAAUGCUUAGGAAUCUGCCUGGUAGUGGGGGAUAGCCCGGGGAAACCCGGAUUAAUACCGCGUACGCCCUUCGGGGGAAAGCAGGGGAUCUUCGGACCUUGCGCUAUCAGAUGAGCCUAAGCCGGAUUAGCUAGUUGGUAGGGUAAAGGCCUACCAAGGCGACGAUCCGUAGCUGGUCUGAGAGGAUGAUCAGCCACAUCGGGACUGAGACACGGCCCGAACUCCUACGGGAGGCAGCAGUGGGGAAUAUUGGACAAUGGGGGCAACCCUGAUCCAGCCAUGCCGCGUGUGUGA
Molecule: ribosomal RNA, 334 nt
Filed under: Marinobacter guineae
Lineage: Bacteria; Pseudomonadati; Pseudomonadota; Gammaproteobacteria; Pseudomonadales; Marinobacteraceae
Description: bacterial SSU rRNA
Rfam family: Bacterial small subunit ribosomal RNA
Source: RNAcentral